RNAcentral lists this long non-coding RNA (4430 nucleotides) under Homo sapiens (human). Its description in RNAcentral is "HSALNT0337287". Lineage: Eukaryota; Metazoa; Chordata; Mammalia; Primates; Hominidae. The record is from RNAcentral.
CUCUCUAGCUAAACUCCUUGGCUAAUGGCCUGCAUGAUCUUAACUUCAUUCCGGAAAUACUGGUUAAGAGGAUUUGGGACAGGCCAUUUGGAGGCUGGUGAACCUGACAACUUACACAACCUACAUUUGCAAAGCCCAGUUAUUUUCUGACUAAUGGGUCAGAAAGAGGGGGCAGAAGAGGAGAGAGAAAUCUUCACCAAACAAACAGCCAGGCCAUCUGGGUGGAGUUGCUUAAGGCAGUCACAAAAAAAUGAUCACAUCAUUUACCUCUCAUUUAACAAGGGCAGAGCAGGGAUACUAGCUGUGAGACACUUCUGCUCCGGGAAAGGGCAAGAAUCUUCUGUUCCAUAUGCAACAUCUUCUGGCAGCCUUGUCCUUUUUCUGUCCUUGACGACUACAAUAACAAACAGCUGUUGCCGAGGCAUUGCUGUUGACGUGUUACCUUUGAAACCUCCCUCCUGUUAUGGAAUAAGCCUCUUCCAGAUCAUGGCUCAUUAUCAUCUAGUCUGACAAGCAGCCUUGUUGCCACGGAGACCCAAAGGGAUCAGGCGUGGCAUUUGCCUGCAUCAUCACCCCCUCCAGGGGAACUAUAAGGACUCUUCUGUGCGUCAUGCGUGGCUGUCCUGGGACUGGCUGCCACCAGACUUUUCCUGCGGGUAAAACCUAAACAAAUGAUCAGCUGCAGAUAAUAUCAAGACCUCUGUUUGAUAUGUUAAUAGUGACAGCCAGAUUUCCACAAUUAACAACGAGGUGGGAAGAAAACACUGUAGUCACCAGACUUGGGAGGAGAGGGUUUGUAUUCACAUAAACACAACCUCACGUCACUGCUUGCCACCACAAAGGGCUCUGUUCACUGUUUUGUUCUCAAAGAUCAUCCUUGCGCUCAUCCUCUGAUCUUGAAUUUCUACAUAACUUUCUCAGUUUAUAUGCCCUGUGGCAAGUGCAGCAAGCACUGUUUCCUGUUUCUAAACUUGUAGAAAAUCAUCCAUACAUCUUACAGUUGUCAGUUUUAACCAGAUAACAGUGGCACUUUGUUGCUGCUUUUUUAUCUUUAGCUUAGGUUAACAGGACCCUGGAAGUAAAGUUGUUGAUUUAUUCAAUAGAGUAUUCUCAAUUAAUUUGGCUAGAUUUCUACAUGAUUCAAAAUCUAAAAAAGUAGAAAUGCAUGCUUACAUGUCUAAGGCCUGAAAAAUUGGUAGUGACAUCCCAAAAUAAAUGAAGGUUUUAAAACAAUAAAUGAUCUCUUUUUUUUUUUUUGCUUCUGUGCUUGGGGAGAAGCAAUGAAGGAAACAACAAUGUUGCUUUAAGGAGUGAGGACCCCAAAAAUAAGAAUAUAUAAUUAUGACAGAUAGGGCAUAGGGCGUUGUUCAGAAUUGAUGGGGCUGGUGCACACACAAACAUUUUAAUAGUUCUAAUACUUUGUGUACACUCUUGCGAUGAAGUGAUGACUUCAUUAAUUGAUUGAAUAAUAUUUAUGCAAUGCUACUAUGUGCUAGCUAUAGAACUAAGCUUAGUCUCUUAAGAUCUUAACAUUCUGAAACUAUUAAAAUGUAUAAUCACCAUUUGUAAAAGUAAAUAUACUAAUCUAAUAAUUUGGAAUGUACAUUACAGUAAAAAAAAAGCAGGGGAACAUCCUGUAAAAUGUCACUCAGAGAUAACCACCACUUACAGAGUGAAGUAUAUUCCUGCUUUUUGCGGAUAGUGUGUGCGUAUAUAUGUUUAAGCAAAGCUAACAAUAUACUAUUUUUAUAAUUGGCAUUUACUUUUUCUUUUGCUUAACUUUAUAUCAUAACCUCUUUCCCACAUCAUUACAAACUCUUCAUAAAUAAUCUUACAAAUGGUUAUGUAAUAUUUAUCUUAUUUGUAACACAUACUAUCUUCUUUUUUUCAUCAACACACUGCAUGGAUAACAGAUUUAUUUUUUAAGUCAAAAAUCUUUCUUGGCUACACUAACCAAUGUUUUUGGUUUUUGUUUUGUUUUGUUUUGUUUUGAGACAGAGUCUCACUCUGUCUCCCAGGCUGGAGUGCAGUGGUGUGACCUCGGCUCACUGCAACCUCCGCCUCCUGGGUUGAAGCGAUUCUUCUGCCUCAGCCUCGCAAGUAGCUGGGAUUACAGGCAUGUGUCACCAUGCCUGGCUAAUUUUUGUAUUUUUAGUAGAGAUGGGGUUUCACCAUGUUGAUCAGGCUGGUCUCAAACUCCUGACCUCAAGUGAUCCACCCUCCACGGCCUCCCAGAGUGCUGGGAUUAUAGGUGUGAACCACCACGCCUGGCCACUAACCAAUGUUCCUUAGAAAAGUUAACCUCAUUUGUGUUUGGGGAUGUCACUCCCGUUCUCUUGGAGAUACAAGUGCACACACACCACAACCCUUGGAGCCUGACAGGCCCAGACCAUAGAUGUGUGUCCAACACGAUGACCUUUCCUCAUUCCCUUGUGGGUCCUCCUGAUGGGCCAGGUCUUCAUGUUUUUACUGAUGAAUUCAAGACCCAGCACUUCGGAUUCAGUGUCCCUCAACACUGCCACAUAGCCAUCCUCCCAUGUGCUUCCUGGUGGUGGGUCACUCCCUAACACCAUUAUGAGCACCUAAUAUGUGUCAAACACUGAUCUAGAACAGAAACCAAACACAAGACAAAUAAAAUUCUUUUUUUUUUUUUUUUGAGAGAGAGUCUCGCUCUGUCACCCAGGCUGGAGUGCAGUGGUGCAAUCUUGGCUCACUACUACAACCUCCGCCUGCCAGGCUCAAGAAAUCCUCUCACAUCAGCCUCCCAAGUAGCUGGGACCACAGAUGUGCACCACCAUGUCCAACUAAAUUUUUGUACUUUUGGUAGAGAUGGGAUUUCACCACAUUGGCCAGGCUGGUCUCGAACUCCUGGCCUAGGGUGAUCCUCGGCCUCCCAAAGUGCUGGGAUUACAGGUGUGAGCCACCACACCCAUCUGCAAGGCAGAUAUAAUUCUUACCCUUGCAGAACUUACAGUCUUGGAGGAGAUAAGCAUUUAAUCAAGUAAUUAUGACAUUUGCUACAAGAGUUCAUAGCAGAGGGGACUUAACCAGCGUAGGUGACAUUUAAACUAAAAAUGUGAAAAACCUGUGAAAUUAAUCAGAAGAAGAGGAGGAAAGCAACUCCACUGUGUUUCCUGCUAGGUCUCAUCUUCCCAACAGAUGCUUGGACUCUCUUCAUCGCCACUUUGAAAUAUGAGGACACUCUUAAUUUAGGUCAAAUUUUUUUCCUCCUGGACUUGCAAUAUGUUGUUUCCUUUUUCUGGAACACAUUAUGAUACUUCCUUGAAACGGCAAGAUUCUUUUAUUCCCAUUGUUUCUGCUUCUUGAAGUAUUAAUCAGAAUAUUUCAUCUGCCAUCCCCUUCUGCUUACUUUCACAUAGUUUUCAGGAGUUAGUUUAAAUGUCACCCCCCUCUGGUUAGGUGCCUCUGCUAUGCAUUCCUGUAACAAGUGUAAUAAUUACUUAAUUCAAUGUAUAUCUCCUCCCAACCUGCAGUUCCUCCCAGUAUUGGAAGGAUAAGAAUCAUAACUGGUUUGUGUUUGGUGUCUGUUCUAGCUCAUUGUUUGACACAUAUUAGGUGCUCAAAAAAUAUUGAAAUGAAUAGUAGGCAUUUAGGGUGUUCCGUUUUUUUUUUAAUAAGCAAUGAUGAAAUGAACAUCUUUUAUGCAUGAUGUCCAUAUUUUGGAAUUUUUAAAUUACUUUCUGAUGAUAAGUUCUUGGAAGCAGAAUUACUAGGUCAAAGGAUACAAACCCUUAGAGUCCUCUUGGGAAACAGCACAUUGCUUUCCAGAAAGUUUUAUACUCCUGCAAGCAGUUUAUGAGAUUUCCUGUUUCAUUGUGCUCUUAUCAACAUGAUUAGGCAAAGAAAUUAUUUUUGCUAACUUGAUAGUAAGAAAAAUUACUCUACUACUGUUUCAAUUUUGCCUUUGUUAAGUAACAAGAUGAACAUUUUCCAUCUGUUUUUUAUUUAUUUAUAUUUGCUGUAUUGUGAGUUGUCUUGUGUCCUUUGUCCAUUUCUAUUCUGAAAUCUUCAUGUUUUUCGAAUCAAUUUUUAUAAGCUCUAUGUUUCAGAAGAUAUUAGAUGAUUAUCUCUUAUUUUUUACUGUAGAUCUUUCUAUGUAGAUGUUUGUAUUUUAGUCUGUGCCCUUCUUAAUGUUCAGAAGUUUACCAUUUUUCUGUGGUCAGGUCUGUUAUCAUUUCCCAUGGGAUUUCUUACAUGACAAACUCACAGUGCUCUUCAACAGCAGUGAUUAAAUAAAUAUUCAGCUAUUUUUGGCAUGUAUACAGUUUUAUUUCUUUGCCUAUGUGUGUGUGUGUGCACGUGUGGUGUGUGUGUGUGCAUGUGCGUGUACUUGUGUAUGUGCAUUUAUGUGCACAUGUACUUGAGUCUCAUCCACUGAUAAUUUAAUUUGUCAUUUGGCAGGAGGGGAG